CCUACGGGCGGCUGCAGUGGGGAAUAUUGGACAAUGGGCGAAAGCCUGAUCCAGCCAUGCCGCGUGUGUGAAGAAGGCCUUCGGGUUGUAAAGCACUUUCAGUGGGGAAGAAAGCCUUGGGGCUAAUACCCUCGAGGAAGGACAUCACCCACAGAAGAAGCACCGGCUAACUCCGUGCCAGCAGCCGCGGUAAUACGGAGGGUGCGAGCGUUAAUCGGAAUUACUGGGCGUAAAGCGCGCGUAGGCGGUCUGAUAAGCCGGUUGUGAAAGCCCCGGGCUCAACCUGGGAACGGCAUCCGGAACUGUCAGGCUAGAGUGCAGGAGAGGAAGGUAGAAUUCCCGGUGUAGCGGUGAAAUGCGUAGAGAGCGGGAGGAAUACCAGUGGCGAAGGCGGCCUUCUGGACUGACACUGACGCUGAGGUGCGAAAGCGUGGGUAGCAAACAGGAUUAGAUACCCGAGUAGUC
Molecule: ribosomal RNA, 465 nt
Filed under: Vreelandella stevensii
Lineage: Bacteria; Pseudomonadati; Pseudomonadota; Gammaproteobacteria; Oceanospirillales; Halomonadaceae
Description: partial 16S ribosomal RNA
Rfam family: Bacterial small subunit ribosomal RNA
Source: RNAcentral